AUCCAAAAGAAAAAAUAAAAUAUUAUAAUCAUCCAACAACUAAAAAUAUUACAAUAAUCCAAUCUCAAUAAAUGAAAAAAUAAAAAUACUACAUCAUCCAAAAUCCGAACUCUUAAAAAACAAAUAUUAAGGUAGCAUGUUACAUUAUUUGAAUGUCCCAUAAAUUUUAAGCAGCAUUCCGACAACAACAUAAUAGAAAUAUUUAGAGAAGAAUAUGAAUAUUAGUGAUAAAGAGUUGUGCAAAUUGCAAUACAUUAUAUAUCAACCUAAAAGAAAAUAGAAAACGCACGAAUCACUUUGAUUUAGCCUUCAUUUGGUUUCAUUGAUCCGAAAACUCUACAAAAAAAAUAAUGAUUGAAUUAACAGUAAAAUUGAUAAAAACAAAUAAACUUAACAUAAUUCAUGGAAUAGCUUAUUUGCUAUAUCGCCGUCCUCCAAUUUGUUAUAUUCCUCCAUAUAGAAUAUCUCCAAGUUGGGAGACCAUUUAUGCCAAUUUUGAAUGCACACCACUACAUUAAAAACUAUGAAAGGGAUCGAGAAUUUUUCUUCCAACACUAAAAACAUUUUUUGAACCCACGUUGACGCUUGAAUUGCCAUAACAUUCCAUGCAAGUUUGGACAAAGUACCAUACUUAUGUCCAUUAACCCCCAUUCAAUUGAGAACAUCAAAUCAUUNAAAUGU
RNAcentral lists this long non-coding RNA (681 nucleotides) under Olea europaea subsp. europaea. Lineage: Eukaryota; Viridiplantae; Streptophyta; Magnoliopsida; Lamiales; Oleaceae. The record is from RNAcentral.